AAACAAAAAAAAAUAAAAAAAAAAGCGACUAAAGAGGAACUUCUAAUGCAAAGUCCAUGUGGUGUAUAUGGAUUUCAAGAAAACACAAAAGGAUGAAGCUGCAGUGUCUACAGUACAUCCAGUAACCAUGACAACCACCUAGACCUACAACCCAGAGUCUAUGAGACAGUUUGUGUAAAAGGCUAUGAUUCAUUAUGAACUUAUCUGUUCUUUUAUGGUACAUAGUUAAAAGUCUAUAAAUAUUAUACAAUCAGAAAUUGGAACUUUUUGUCAAAUUGCGAUGGCUGUUUGUUUUUGUACUUUAAAUUGUAUCUUUUGUAGCAUCACCUGUUCCAUGUUGAGUAUAAUAAGCCAUAUAAACAACAAACAUUUGAUAUAAUGUAUGUUUUGUACAUUAGUAAUUCAUUUUCUGCAUAAUUUUACAAUAUUUUUGGUAAUAAAUUAAUUUAAGCAACAGAACAUCUGUGGAGCCACUUGGGAGCCAAAAGAUUCCCAUCACUACUGCCUUGCCUCUUAGCCUCUAAAAGUAAUUUGUCUUCCUCUUUGGAUUCUUAGCUCUGUGUCUUAGUUCCAUGUGUUUUGUGUUUUCCUUUGUCACCAACAGACAAAGUGUGUUACGGAAAUUAAAUAAGCUUGAGAUGAUACUGCAACAGAUGAAGGUUUCCAUCUUUCUUGGUCAUGUGAUCUACAGUGAGACGCCCCCGCUAAGACUGACAUGGAUCCGCUGUGAUUAAAGUCUGUGUACUCCAUUCACUGAGGCAGGAUUGAAGCCACACUUACUCGCUGGCCCUUUCCCACAACCUCCAGGCACCUUGGAGGAAGUCAUCCAUGCAUAACUGUGCUCCUUAAUCAAAGGCUGAAUGUAGAAGUUGUCCCAGAGGUUGGCUGCUGCAAGUGCGGCAUUAGCAAAGCGCAUGCUCUCCUUUCACCGGCAAACAAAGCUGCCCAUUGUGACGGGCCUCAAGCGUCUAUUUUGAUUCAAAAAAGAGGGAUCUCACGAGCAGACAGACAAUGAUGAGAGACGAGCAGGAGCAACACACAGGAUGCGUUCAGGACUGCACGCCGCUAGCAAAUUAACAAGUCUCGGGUGUCAGCAUCAUCCUCCAGCUAAAAUACACCGCAUGGCUUACUGCGAAAUAACACAGAACAACCACAAGACAAAAACAUCUGAUAUCACAGAAGGUAUGAUCAGCUGCAGAGUUGCUGACAGGUUGAAUUUAUCUAUGUUUUUAAAUGAUCUAGCAGGCUGUCAAAAUAGAAGCUUACUGUGAUAAAUGAAUGAGAUCCCUUUACGCUGAUAACAGCAUUAGACCAGUCAUCAGUAGGAGGAAGCCUCACACACAGGGCAGCCAUGCAGACCGGAUAAAUGUAAGGAAAUGCCAUAAAGUUUCAUUCGGAUGUGAUACCUCUAACAUUUGUUUUUUUCAAAUUCCAAUUUAUUUUUGGAGUCUGUUGGUGAAGAUAAUAUCUUAAACAGAAGUGAGAUCUGCAACCUGAUCCCACCUCCUCUGGCCUCUGCACUGCCUUAUUAAUAGCAGUGACCCAUCUUUAAAUAGGACAUUGUUUUGUCUAUUGUCUUUCUAUCUCCGUGCUGUCCUGAUCACUGAUGCUGAAGCAGGGUAGUAAACAUCCUCUGACCCCUCCAGCCCACCGCUCCCAUUGACAAACUCGUUGUUCUUAAUCCUCAGUUGCAUUACGAAACCCUCGAUGUUUUAAGAAUGUGCAAGAAGAAAGAGGCCAGUAUGCUUUCUGAUUUAAGCACAAGUCUAUCUGUUUUGAGUACAUAAAAAUGAAGGAGGACUUGGACCUAUAAAUGAUUUUUUUCUUCUAGCAUAUCGAAUGACAGUGUGACAGAAGCUGCUCACAGACAUGAACCUAUAGAAAAUACGCGGCUCCUCGUGGCUUUGCAAAACUUUAUAGCCAGUUUCAGUUCAUUGUUGAGGUGGUUUUGCAACAGGCAGCUGUUUCACUUAACAAGCUCAAACUACUCUUUGCCCACUUUUUUUCAGUACCAAAUAGCAGACAGACACAAUUACGCAGUAGCUGGUAAAAAUAGUGAAGCAUUUAUUAGCUGAAGAGUUAGAAAGUUGCUUCAGGAGGUGGAGGAGAUCCAAAAUGGAAUUUGAAAAAAAAAAAGAAAAAUGGAGUUAAAUCCAUCAAGUAGCUAGAGGUGUGGCUCCAAGUAAAUGAAAAUGUUCCUCAAGAACUGUUUGGGAAGUAAAAUGAGAAAUACUUGCCAUCCUGCUUAAAAGACGUUGUUUCUGCAUUUGUGGAAACACAACACUAAUUUCAAACAAAGACCUCAAAAUAUUGCAAUUUUUUCCCUCUUAAUUAGGAAAAGUUAUGGAGGCUCCUUAAAGACACAUUUUAAUCUGAAAAAAAAUAUUGUGAGGUAAAACAAAACUCUCAAUAAAAUGUUUAAAAAAAAAAAAAAAAAGAAAAUCAUUGCCAAAGUUCAGUUAACUCAACGUUAACAAAUAAAUCGUGACAUGAAUAUUGUGACUUACACAGCAGUGAUGCUACUGUAAGGAGAUGCAAGAUGGCAAAUGAUAAAAACAAAAUUCAGAUGUUAUAUUUUCUACUUUUAAAUGCUCCAAUGGAGAAUUGGUGCCACGGACAAUUUAACUGUAAACAAAAUUCCUGAUAUAUAGACGUACGUAUACAGUACAUACAAAAUUGUAGAUUUCUUUUCAGAUUAUUCACAUUAGCUGGAAUUAGGUUAAAAUUUCCAUUAAAUGUGGAUGUAAACUUUACUUUUGCACAUAAAGUGCAGGGCUUUUGUCUUUCUUUAAAAUUGCUUAAAUGUUGAAGGAAAAAGCACCUGCUGUAGGGGCAGUAAAUAAACUUGCCCAGACAUGCUCUCUCUUUUUUAACAUGAUUAGGCUCAGCAUCAGACUGUUUAAGAGGAGUCUUUUACAAGGAUGUGUAGGGGCUUGGAGCUGGGGGUGUGUUGGAGUGGUGGCUCCCCAUUCUUCCCAUUAUCCGGCUUUCCAUUUUCAUUGGAAUGAAGGCCAUCUAUCAGGAGCCCCUAUAGGCCCUUUCAAAGCCGAAUAAAAGGAUCACUGUGGACGGACCUGUCUGUGGGUUGCUCAGACAUGGAAGACAACAGAUGUGUUAAACAUGGGCAGCUCCCUCACAAAAAGCCCGGCGAGUCGGGGCUGCGUGCUCGCUAAUGGAGGGGCAGCUUUAUGUUAAUUGCUGAAUGGAGUCAGUCAAAGCUCCGCGAGCCUUCGCCGAGUACGUUCAAGGAAUCCCACAUCAUAAAGAAGUCCUCACUUCCCUCCACUCUCAGGAGGAAGGAGCUACAAAGAAAAGGCCAUAAAAUUGUUAAAGGGUCUAUAGCCAAGGUGCACUAUUGCAUCCCACAAAAACCCACCCUGUAACUUUACCCGGAUGUAAAGUUACAAUGACACUUUUGUUUCCCAAAGAUCUGGAUCAAUAUGACUUCAAAUCAGAAGCUGGCAAAUUGAUCCCCAAAGAAUUGAUACUCCUGAUAAUGAAGCCCUUCUUUUGUACUGAUGCUAUUUUGAGACAAAAUCAAUACCUCCAAAACUGAUCCACAUUUGUGAAGUUUAACUCGAUAGACUAAUAAAGCUGCCUUGUGUUUUCACAUGAAUGUGAUCAAUUACAUAUAAAAUAGUAAGAAAAUUUGCUAAAUAGUUUUCAAAGUACUCUAUAUUAAAAAUGUGUGGAGUGAAAAAUAUUUAGAUCCUUUACUUAAAUAUAAUUCCUAACUGUGAAAGUACUCUAAAUUCUAUACAUUGUAAGUGAAAGUUCAGAAAUUAUAAUUUCAGUAUUCAAAAGAAUGGCCGAUUCAAGUGUCUCAAUAUAACAUUUUAUUGAUGUUUAGAGCAAAGACAAUGAAAAACGUAGAAUUUUAAUCGAAGAUGAUAAAACAUGAACUGAAUUUAACUGUUUUAGUUCAUUUUAGUUAGAUUAUUUAACCUUUCCCUGAAGAAAUCACCUUGUUUGAAAAACUUUAUAGAAACAAGCAUUAGGCGUUACCACUUUGUAGUCAAUAAAUUGUCAUUUUAGUCGAGAAAACUCAUUAAAGUCAAUGAUAUCUAAUAAAAUACUGACGUUAUUACACUUCAAGGGAAGAUUUUUUUCCAUUUGUUAUGGGAGAAUAAGCUUUUUAGGACUCUCAUACCUUAUUGAGAUGAUGAGUUUUGAAGCAUUUGCAUCAGAUCAAAGUACAUGGUAGGUCAAGAAAUUACUGUAAAUAAGUGUGGUAGAGUAAAAAGUGCAGCAUUUCACCCUGAAAUGUAAUGAAAUACAAAUGUAAAGUAUAGAAAAUUAUAAUUUCUCUUAAUAUCUUUGAUUCCACCACUGAUAUUAGGCAUUAGAUAUCAAAUUCAAUGUUUUCUGAAAUGACUUUAUUUUGACUUUGAGCUUCUUGGUUGGAGAUAACAAUAGAAAACAUGGCUUCUAGUAGCUGCUGUUGUUUCCCUGCUGGGGCCACGCUCGCCUCCUGUAUUCCUGUGGGAAUCAAGAUAAUGCCGAGAGAUCGCAUCAUUGCGUCGCAGCAUUAAUGAUUUAUUGGAUUUAUUAACUGUACUUUUAAUAUAUUUAAACGUCCUUACAGACAUUGCAACAAGCAGUGAAACUUAUAUCAGAAAAUAUAUGAAAUAUCAGCCACUUUCUGCUAUGUUCAGAGGGGUUAAACUCAACUUCUGCACCCCAGUAUCCUUUUGUCACACUGAAGGAGGAGGAGGAGGAGCAAAGGUCCCGGCAUCAAACCCCGGACCCCAAACAAUGGGAGCUUGGCGUGGACAGCCCGAGGCGAAGCCAUCUGCCAUGGAGAGAGUGGAGUCUCUUUGUCAGCUAUUGUGGAAUGUGGAAGCAGAUUGAUGUGGGCCGGGUGAUUCCUUUAGGGCCCGACGGGGCAGCAGGCAGCGCAGAGACACCACCGGGAACUCCCUCUCCUUCUGUCUCCACAUUCAGCAGUCACAUGCUGCAGCAGCCAGACGCUCCAACCUGGGAUAAUGAAGAGGGAAAGUGUUUGGAGAGGCUGAUGUCAUGUGUUAGAAAAUCGGGCCACUUGUGUUCUCAACAGGCACUCCAAUAAAAUAAAAGCUUUAUUUUAAUCCUUGUUAUUGAUAGCCUGAAGCAGAACAGGAGGAAUUUUCCUCUUCGUGCCGCAAAGUGUAAAAAUGAUCAUUUUCUCCGCUGUUGCAUAAGAAGUGGAUGCAGGCUGGAGCUAUGCGUGUCAUUGUAGUGUGUCCCUGCUUGGACGAUGACCUCUGACCCUCCCAGCAGGUGUCUGUGGUCGCCCUCUAUUGAGAAAAGCCAGUCCAGAAGCUCUUUGGCUCUUUGGAGUGGGUGGGUCAGCGAGGCAAACAGGGCAGAUGUGUGUGAAAUCCCCCAGGGAAAGUGUGCCGCCACCGAGGGAAGGGGUCAGGGCAAAAAGGGUGGAUCUGCGACACAACCAACACAACAGAAAACCAUGGUUUCCAUGGCAGCCUGCUGCAUCACUAAGCCGUCUGUUCUCAGGGACAUAAAAUAGCACUUCAGGCUCCAGGAUCUGUGACAAAACAAGCCUUUAUUUUGCUUCUGGUGGCCGAUCAACAACAGAAUCAGAGAUGAGAUGAGAUUUAGCUUGGAGUGCUUUUCCAGAGACAAAAAUUUGACUUGAAUUCAUUUACAUUCCAAAUCCAAACACACUACUGCUUGAAUUGGUGGAAUUCAUCUGCAAAAUCAGCUUAAACUAUCAAAUUUAAAGGGAAUGAAAAACAGAAAGCAGCUCCUGUUGGUGUUGUAUUUGUGUAUUUAGCAUUUUUUUUUACAUGUUUUAUUAUCAUUAUAUUGUAUUUUUUAGAGCAAACUCAUUUUCUCUGAUCUCUUUUUCUGCAGCCCAGACAAACACAAACCUAAAUCCUGACUAAUAAACAGUCCCUAUAAUAAGAAACUUUAAUGUCUGGGGACGGAUUGAGUUGCGGAGCUUCAAAGCCACAGGGUGCAACCGAAAAAAGAUGGAGAUAAAAAAGCACAGCCUGCUGUCCUGACUGUUUACUGUGGCUGGACUCUGAGUCAUUUCCUUUGAGGUGACGGUUGUAGAGGAAUGCGACUUUAUGCUGAUGUCUUUGAUCAAACCCUGGGCUUCAUCAGGUUAUCUCAGUGUGCACUAAGUGGGCCAUAAAACUAGUCAUCUGACUGAAAGAAACCCUACUGAUGAGCUGACCACAUCCUUAUUGCAGCUAUAGGGAGAUUUUUAUUUAUCAUACCGUAGCUGAAAUCAUCAUCAAGUCAUUACUUUAGUAGCAACAUGUGACUACUAAGCUUGUUAAAGGCAUAACCUUGAGCAUCAGUAGCCAUAAAGAGCAUGUGGUAGAUCUUAAAACUGUGAUGAAAUAGAACUUUGUUCCUCUUAAAGGCUGCACAAAGGAAGUGCCAGCUUCAGAAAUAAAGGAAGAAGAGGAGAUUACAAAAUGUUCAGUAGAGGCAUUUUAAGAUGAGUUUGCAAGAAGAAGCAUUGCCUCCAUUUUUUUUUUACAUUUUUUUCUUGCAUGACCUUGUCAGUAAAACACCAUUGUUCUGAAGGUCUCUGUCUUCCUACAAAGGGCCUUUUCUGCUACAAUGCUCGUGGGCCAAAUGCUGGCCUCUGAUAGAAGAGCUGUCAGUCAUGUGACGCAUGACAUUUGUAUAACAUUACCGGGGUCACAGCCCACGGUUAAGAUGAUGGGAGUGGAUGAAAAAAAGUGGGUCAGGACUCUGGACAAAUCUUGAACUUCGGUCAGCAUGAAGAAAGCACAGGUCAGAGUAUGCUUAGAUACGCAUCUUCAGUCAGUGCUUGGCUCCAGUGUUUGAAAAGUGUCUCUUGGUCAUCGCUCUGUGGAGCUAUUGUUGAAGAAACUGAAGGAACAGGCUCUGAGGACAAAGAGCUUCAUAUCGUAUCAGGAUAAUCCAUCAAAGGAUCCAAAGGCCAACGAGCAUGCUCCAACAAAUUCAUUAAAAACAAUCUUUUUAUGCCAUGAAAGUGCUCAACGAGCGACUUUGAUCCGUGGUUACUCAAAUUGAAGAGGACAGCGGUGGUUUAAAAAAUACAUUAAAGCUAGUUCUAUGUUCUUUUUUGA
Molecule: long non-coding RNA, 7073 nt
Organism: Acanthochromis polyacanthus (spiny chromis)
Lineage: Eukaryota; Metazoa; Chordata; Actinopteri; Pomacentridae
Exons: 3
Source: RefSeq, a predicted model, not a curated record